Molecule: long non-coding RNA, 1453 nt
Organism: Ornithodoros turicata
Lineage: Eukaryota; Metazoa; Arthropoda; Arachnida; Ixodida; Argasidae
Exons: 5
Source: RefSeq, a predicted model, not a curated record
AAAGAAAGGGAGAGGAUAGUCGUGAUCAAAGCCGAUCGUAUCCGAAAGCCAUGCUAAUGGCGGCGUAUUUGUUGUUGUAAGUUUGUAAGUGCUUGUAAGUUUUCUGUAGUUUCUAUGUUCGUGCGUGACGUGCUGCAGCGCUUCAAGUAUGUCGUUAGCUGUGAGAAUUUCAACGUAUCUCUUCACAAGUGUCAACACUUGUGAGUGCCAGCGUGAGGAGACGUCUGGGGUAUGAUUGUGAGGGGUCGAGACCAUUACUCCACCAGCAGACGUUAUUGCUGCCCCUUUGCAAGCUCCCGUCCUGUGGACACUGCCAACGGGUACCAGUCUUCAGGAGCUUCUGCUUCGUGUACUGAUAUCCUUUGAACGCCAAGCAUUCGCUGCCCUUUGCUGUUUUCAGAAUUUUCAUUUUGCUGAUCUGAAAUAUAUGUAGGAAGGUAUUUCCAUGUGGGCUUAGGCUUUCCACAGUGUGCUAAGAAAAAGUCUGGAUCGGAUCCCAAUACUGACAAUACAAUGACUCAAAUAAUUAGGGUAGCUAAAAGCAUAGAAGGUACAACUUACCUAAGGGUGCUCCCAGGGACGUGGUGGUUGCUGCCAAGUUACCACGGUCCAGAGGAAAGUACUGUCAUGCGUGCAGAUCUCUAUGUGCAGAUCAUGGCACACUAUUGACAGGUGGAGGCUAUGCCGGCUAACCCACUUUUCUAUGAGGCACCACCACUAGCCAGUGUGCCCUGCUGAGCGUUUCUUUUCUUUUCCUACAAUGAAACCAUGGUCCGUGUGGCCAAGGUGAAUGCACUUCACUUCUUGUUACCCCGCGCUCUGGGCAAAUCCCUUCAGAGUAGGAUGCCUUUUAUCCUUGCCUUGUAUCCACAGAUCUUACCAGUAAUUGUGCCUUCCUAAGCUUUUCUCUUAUGUUCCACAGACAAACCUAUGACCCCUGUGAACAAGGUAGAUGACCUGAGUGAGUUCUUUGACCACUUUCACGGGGAACGUUCGCUGAAACAGUGAAGCUGGCAUGGGUUUUCCCCAUGACACAAUUUUCUGUGCCACGGUUCUACGACUAAAUACCCUUACUUCAUAUCGGGGAGCCCUGUAUAUGGAAACUUGCGCCAACAUACCCUCGUAAUCGAUAGCACUUUAUUUAGCGAAGGAACAUGCUCUAUGGUUGUUCAAGGUACAAUGGCGGGAUGAAGACCCAUGGGUAUCAGGAAGGCUUAACCACAGCAGUUACUGUUGAAAGCCACAGUGAGUCAUUGGAGGCAGUGCUGCAGCACCAACAAUCACUCAUUGGCAGAAAGGAAUGAGGUGGCCAUCAACACCCUGCUGCCAGUUCAACACUCCUCAGUCAAAACGCAAGACGCCUGCUUGGAAGCAAAGUCAAUCCAGUUUUAGACUGAGUUUUGUACCAUAGACUUCGCGCGUGGUUUACUGUGAAUAAAUGUUCAUGCUGAGA